Molecule: ribosomal RNA, 538 nt
Filed under: Salmonella enterica subsp. enterica serovar Thompson
Lineage: Bacteria; Pseudomonadati; Pseudomonadota; Gammaproteobacteria; Enterobacterales; Enterobacteriaceae
Description: partial 23S ribosomal RNA
Rfam family: Bacterial large subunit ribosomal RNA
Source: RNAcentral
AGGUGCGAAAGCAGGUCAUAGUGAUCCGGUGGUUCUGAAUGGAAGGGCCAUCGCUCAACGGAUAAAAGGUACUCCGGGGAUAACAGGCUGAUACCGCCCAAGAGUUCAUAUCGACGGCGGUGUUUGGCACCUCGAUGUCGGCUCAUCACAUCCUGGGGCUGAAGUAGGUCCCAAGGGUAUGGCUGUUCGCCAUUUAAAGUGGUACGCGAGCUGGGUUUAGAACGUCGUGAGACAGUUCGGUCCCUAUCUGCCGUGGGCGCUGGAGAACUGAGGGGGGCUGCUCCUAGUACGAGAGGACCGGAGUGGACGCAUCACUGGUGUUCGGGUUGUCAUGCCAAUGGCACUGCCCGGUAGCUAAAUGCGGAAGAGAUAAGUGCUGAAAGCAUCUAAGCACGAAACUUGCCCCGAGAUGAGUUCUCCCUGAGACUUAGAGUCUCCUGAAGGAACGUUGAAGACGACGACGUUGAUAGGCCGGGUGUGUAAGCGCAGCGAUGCGUUGAGCUAACCGGUACUAAUGAACCGUGAGGCUUAACCUUAC